GGGUCUAGUAAGAAACUUUAUAAGAGAUUUAGUUAGAUAUUGUACCAAAAAUAACUUGAUUUCUAACUUCUAAUUCUCAACUGAUAUUUUAUUUCACAGUUUCAAUUGCCAAUUUGGAAUAAUAUAUUUUAUAUAUAUCUUAGAAAAUGUUGGAUAUAUUUUAAUACAAUACAAGUCUAUAGCUGCUUUUCUUAUCCAGAACUUCAUAAACUCUAGCUAUUUAUAUAUAUAUAUACACCACCAACCUUUGACAAGUAUGUAGUUCAUAAGACUUCUUAAUAUUCGUCUCCUUUAAAUUAAAACCACAACACUCUCUCCUAUACAUAAUCCUCAGCUCCCCACUUAUCAUUGAGUUAGAAUGAAUCAAUCUUCGGCCGUAGUGGAAAAACCUUCACAGGGGCCGUACACAAGUCCACCGCCGAUUGGUUAUCCGACCAGAGAUGCUGUGGUUGGUGAUCCUCGGGUAUCGUCAGUGGAGACGAAGUCCAAGGGUGAAGUUGAUGGGUUUUUAAACCGAUGUUGGGUUGCUAUAUGCUGCUGUUGUGUCCUGGACGCAUGCUGUCUGAAACUUUGGAGUUAAAGAUUUCAUGCAGAUUAUUGCUAUAAUAAAAUAUAUAUUUGAUGAUUGUUGUGUUACUUUUUAAUCAAUACCAUUAAAAGGAACCAUUUCCAUUUAUUGCCCUUAAUGAAAUACUUCAGUUUUCCAAAAUUAUCCUUAAAUUUAUGAACAAACUAAAAUUUUCAUUAAUGGCAUUAUUGUCUUUCGGUUUUUGGGCCUAUCAUUACAUUUAAACGGACUUGAUGUUGUACAACAAGUAAUUUUUAACAUUCUGGCAAAUCAUACAUUACAUCCUCCAUUUGUUUUCUUUUGUAUCACGUUGCUCAUCACGUUACAUCGUUAGCAACAUGUUACUAUUAUAUGCAUGUAUUUUGAAUAUGACUACAUGUAACAAAAAAAACCAAGUCGGUAGCAUUACUUUUAUAUAAAUCUGAGUGGACGACAUAGAUUUAAGGUUAGAAAACUUCGUAUUUACAUAUACAUUGGAUUGCAGAUUUUCUUAUUUUAGCCCAUGUUUGUGAAAUAAAUUAGAUACGACCCAAAUUUGUUAAUUAAUUAAAUGAGUUAUGUUUAUAUAUAAUCCAUUUCAUAGCCCAUACACGUUUUUUAUAAUAACAAAUAAAUUAAAAUCUGCAAUAAUUUUAAAAAUUAAUAUUAGAUAUUGAAACUUUCUAACUAAAUGAUUUUAAGACUUUAUCUCAAAACUAAAAAAAUGCGGGUUUGUUUUUUUUUUCAUUUAUAAAUCAAAAACUGAUUUACAAAUUACCAUUAUUUUUCUUUUAAACCAUAACAAUUGAUUUUUUAGGAUUUUAUCAUUUGUUUUUUUUUUCCCUUCAAAAUAUUGUAUUUGUUCGAAAUAUGGUAGUUGUUCUAUAAUAAUGUUUGAGUUUUAAGAUUUGUUUUCAUAUUUGACCUAGAUUCAUGGUUGAACCUAUAGACCCGAUACAUUGUAUAUAAUCCGGUUCGGAUUUAAUGAAAAAUUUGUUAACUAAAAAUCUGAUAUAACCCGGUAAAAACCCAAAAACUCACUAUUAACCUGUGAUCUGAUACCAUUGAUCCGAUUACAAAAUAUCUGAUAGUAAUUUUU
This is a long non-coding RNA of Brassica napus (rape), 1646 nucleotides long. RefSeq lists it as uncharacterized. Lineage: Eukaryota; Viridiplantae; Streptophyta; Magnoliopsida; Brassicales; Brassicaceae. The transcript is spliced from 3 exons. The record is from RefSeq and is a predicted model, not a curated record.